GAAUAUUGCACAAUGGGGGAAACCCUGAUGCAGCCAUGCCGCGUGUGUGAAGAAGGCCUUCGGGUUGUAAUGCACUUUCAGCGAGGAGGAAAGGUUGGCAGCUAAUAACUGCCAACUGUGACGUUACUCGCCGAAGAAGCACCGGCUAACUCCGUGCCAGCAGCCGCGGUAAUACGGAGGGUGCAAGCGUUAAUCGGAAUUACUGGGCGUAAAGCGCACGCAGGCGGUUGGAUAAGUUAGAUGUGAAAGCCCCGGGCUCAACAUGGGAAUUUCAUUUAAAACUGUCCAGCUAGAGUCUUGUAGAGGGGUGUAGAAUUCCAGGUGUAGCGGUGAAAUGCGUAGAGAUCUGGAGGAAUACCGGUGGCGAAGGCGGCCCCCUGGACAAAGACUGACGCUCAGGUGCGAAAGCGUGGGGAGCAAACAGG
RNAcentral lists this ribosomal RNA (425 nucleotides) under uncultured bacterium. Its description in RNAcentral is "bacterial SSU rRNA". It matches the Rfam family "Bacterial small subunit ribosomal RNA", at positions 359 to 776 of the family's 1533-position model. The record is from RNAcentral.